Molecule: long non-coding RNA, 254 nt
Filed under: Chloebia gouldiae (Gouldian finch)
Lineage: Eukaryota; Metazoa; Chordata; Aves; Passeriformes; Passeridae
Description: Erythrura gouldiae (Gouldian finch) lncRNA (ENSEGOG00005010910.1)
Source: RNAcentral
UAAACUCCGCCCACAGCCCCGGUUCCACGCCCACUUCCGGCUGAGAAAACCACGCCCAUGAGAAAGUCCCGCCCCUGCCGCCGCAGGCUCCGCCCACUCCGCAUGGUCCCCCUGGACGCUGACAGGGAAGGAGAUCGAGAUCGACAUCGAACCCACGGACAAGGUGAGCGCCCAGUUCGGACCAGUAGGAACCAGUAAGGAGCGGCGGGGGGGCAGGGGGGGAGCGGCAGGGGUCUCCCAGUUCAUCCCAGUAU